AGUUGCUACUUGGAGCAGAGGAAGAAAGACUGUAGGAGCAGCAGGGCAAGAUGGUUUGCUAGCAGGGAUUGCGGGAGCACUGAGAAAGCUCCUGGCUGGUUGCAAAGACUGAGUGGGGACUGAGCCUGGGGAGGGCUGCAGGAAGAUAGUGUCUUCAGGGAGGAAGGUCUGGGGAUACAGCCCCAUACUGGGGUGGACUACUACCACCAAAGGGGUACUUAGAUAGGCCCUGGUGGACUGUAUACCCUGGAAGGGGUUUGUGCUGGUUAACAGGCAGACAGUGCAAGUUGGCCGGAGCACUGUGUCACUGACAAACCCAACUGAGAACCACCGAAAGGGGUCACCAGAACUAAAGAAUGCAGACAUGCUCAACCAGAAGGGGGCACUCAUGAGAGAGAAUCUAGAAUGGUAGUUUUCAGAAACCCUUCCUUCAUUACUGCUUCUUCACUGGAAACAGGCUGCACCUGGAGGAGACGCCAGGCAGAUGGGAAUUGACUGGAAGCAGGCUCAACUGGACAGGAACAGGAGGAACAUCAUAUCCCUACUCUGGAAUGUAUGUUUGGUCAUAUUGUUACUCAGCAGCUAUAUGGGUGUAUACAGGAUUCCAAGAAGAGGGAAGCCAAAGCCAAACUAACAACAACAAAUGCCCCCUUUAGGAAGGCUGCCAAGCCAAGCCCUGCUAGCAGAGUUCUUAGUUCCCUUAUCGUUCUAGGAGGUAAACUGGCUUUCUCUCUUUCCCUUAGCCAUUGGGGUUAGGGGAGAAGCCAUUUAACCCAGUUCAUAAGACCUUUACCUCAAAGCCUUGAAUCAGAGCAACUAAACUUAUAGACAGAAAAAUAAAGCAUCUUGUGCUCAGGUCAGGCUAGUGAUCUGGGUCCUGUAACAGCCAGUGUUGUUCCUAGCCCCAGCAUUGUUCGCUCUUGCUCAGCUUCCUUUUCUUGUUCAUAUAGCCCAGCCCCAAGGACAGGGCAAGGUGUUUUGACUUUUUCCCCAGGUUGUCUUGGUUGUAAAUAUCAGACUAUACCUUAAAGAGUUAGUACACCCCAACACAGGAUAUUUAAAAAUCCCUUGGGCUUGGUGUCAUGUGGUUUAGAGUGCUUUAGCACCCAGACACAAUGGUCACUGGUACACUAGAAAUACAUCUAGAGAUGUGUAGAGAGAUUAGCAGACUGACUUUCAAAAGAGCUGAGCUUCUGCAGCUGCUAUUGACUUUAGUGGAGGGAAGAAUAUCAGACAUUCAGCAGCUCUGAGAACUGGGCUUUCAAUGUUAGUCCAGAUAUGUUUGUUAGCACCACCACCCACUGCACUGUCAAACUGUAGUUGCUAACACUGUAAAUACUUUUGACACUGAGUGCACCCCUCCUUCCCUUUUGAUCUUUUCCAUAUAGCUGUGCUGACACUCCAUUUGAGAAUUAACCCACCAAGGCUCAGUAAUGCUGACUAAGUAAGCCAUAAUUCCCAUCAUCUAAUACAUCUAGGUCGUCUUGCUUGUUUUGCAUCCAUACAGACUAUGCUAGUGGUUAAACUCUCCUACUCUUCUUAUUCUCCUCCAUCUUUUAUUUCAAACAACCCUAUUUUCCAUCUUAUUUUGUAUGUUGCAAGUACUUAUACAACCAUUUGAGUUAACAAAACUUUCCCUUCUCUUCUGCUCCUACUGGUUUAAAGCAUAAUUAAAGAGGUCUGAAAGGUUUGCACCUAGGAGGUUGAUGCCCCUUCUGCUAAAGUGAAGAUUAUUUAACCCAAAUAACAG
Long non-coding RNA from Dermochelys coriacea (leatherback sea turtle), 1750 nucleotides. RefSeq lists it as uncharacterized. The record is from RefSeq and is a predicted model, not a curated record. Lineage: Eukaryota; Metazoa; Chordata; Testudines; Dermochelyidae. The transcript is spliced from 3 exons.